RNAcentral lists this transfer RNA (74 nucleotides) under Brevibacterium casei. Its description in RNAcentral is "tRNA-Ile". It matches the Rfam family "tRNA". Rfam says of the family: Transfer RNA (tRNA) molecules are approximately 80 nucleotides in length. Their secondary structure includes four short double-helical elements and three loops (D, anti-codon, and T loops). RNAcentral also lists the same sequence under 7 other names. The record is from RNAcentral. Lineage: Bacteria; Bacillati; Actinomycetota; Actinomycetes; Micrococcales; Brevibacteriaceae.
GCCCCCGUAGCUCAGCUGGUCAGAGCAGGGAACUCAUAAUUCUUUGGUCGCCGGUUCAAGUCCGGCCGGGGGCA